UAUUUAAGUAGUUUAAAUUUAAAACUUUAUAUUGAAGAUAUGAGGAUAAAAUAAUUUUCUUAAGU
This 65-nucleotide transfer RNA is filed under the name Leptomyrmex pallens. Its description in RNAcentral is "tRNA-Phe". Lineage: Eukaryota; Metazoa; Arthropoda; Insecta; Hymenoptera; Formicidae. The record is from RNAcentral.